Molecule: ribosomal RNA, 867 nt
Filed under: uncultured archaeon
Lineage: Archaea
Description: bacterial SSU rRNA
Rfam family: Archaeal small subunit ribosomal RNA
Source: RNAcentral
CUCCCGUUGUCCUGCCGGACCCGACUGCUAUCAGAGUGGGACUAAGCCAUGCGAGUCAACGCAGCAAUGCGUGGCAUACGGCUCAGUAACACGUAGUCAACAUGCCCAGGGGACGUGGAUAACCUCGGGAAACUGAGGAUAAACCGCGAUAGGCCAAGGUUUCUGGAAUGGACACUGGCUGAAACCUACAUGGCCCCUGGAUUGGACUGCGGCCGAUCAGGCUGUUGGUGAGGUAAUGGCCCACCAAACCUGUAACCGGUACGGGCUUUGAGAGAAGGAGCCCGGAGAUGGGCACUGAGACAAGGGCCCAGGCCCUAUGGGGCGCAGCAGGCGCGAAAAUUCUGCAAUAGGCGAAAGCUUGACAGAGUUACUCUGAGUGAUGCCCGCUAAGGGCAUCUUUUGGCACCUCUAAAAAUGGUGCAGAAUAAGGGGUGGGCAAGUCUGGUGUCAGCCGCCACGGUAAUACCAGCACCCCGAGUGGUCGGGACGAUUAUUGGGCCUAAAGCAUCCGUAGCUUGUUCUGCAAGUCCUCCGUUAAAUCCACCUGCUCAACAGAUGGGCUGCGGAGGAUACUACAGGGCUAGGAGGCGGGAGAGGCAAGCGGUACUCAGUGGGUAGGGGUAAAAUCCUCUGAUCCACUGAAGACCACCAGUGGCGAAGGCGGCUUGCCAGAACGCGCUCGACGGUGAGGGAUGAAAGCUGGGGGAGCAAACCGGAUUAGAUACCCGGGUAGUCCCAGCUGUAAACGAUGCAGACUCGGUGAUGGGUUGGCUUUGCGCCAACCCAGUGCCGCAGGGAAGCCGUUAAGUCUGCCGCCUGGGGAGUACGGUCGCAAGACUGAAACUUAAAGGAAUUGGCGGGGGAGCA